RNAcentral lists this ribosomal RNA (253 nucleotides) under uncultured bacterium. Its description in RNAcentral is "partial 16S ribosomal RNA". It matches the Rfam family "Bacterial small subunit ribosomal RNA", at positions 524 to 776 of the family's 1533-position model. The record is from RNAcentral.
UACGAAGGGGGCAAGCGUUGUUCGGAAUUAUUGGGCGUAAAGGGAGCGUAGGCGGUUCGGCAAGUCUUUAGUGAAAUCUCUGGGCUCAACUCAGAGUCUGCUGGAGAAACUGCCGGGCUGGAGUAUGGGGGAGGUGAGUGGAAUUCCCGGUGUAGAGGUGAAAUUCGUAGAUAUCGGGAGGAACACCAGUGGCGAAGGCGGCGACCUGGGCAGAUACUGACACUGAGGUGCGAAAGCGUGGGGAGCAAACAGG